RNAcentral lists this long non-coding RNA (312 nucleotides) under Brassica napus (rape). RNAcentral describes it as "long non-coding RNA (BNAP_LNC014063)". The record is from RNAcentral. Lineage: Eukaryota; Viridiplantae; Streptophyta; Magnoliopsida; Brassicales; Brassicaceae.
AAAAACUUGUUUUCCUUUGACCACCGCCUCAAUAUCCAUCAUUCUAUUACUAGAAUAUAGAAUUUUCACCUGAUACUCAUUAUUAUAAAAAAGAGCUGAACCACCGCUCCUCCCAUUUGGAUCCACAGUAGUCAAACUAUCAUAUCCAAAGUGUGGUUGAAACCAUUGUACAAACUCAAAAUCCUGUUUCGUUUCAGAUAAAAAUAAAAAAUCCGGUUUGUGUUUAUGCCAUGUCUCCCAAAGAUAACUUAUGGUCCAACGACUCCCAAGACCUCUACAAUUCCAGCUUAAUAUUUUCAUAUAUAAAAAACC